CCCUUCUCAGGAAGGCACCUGGAGAGUUUCCAGUACUCUACCAGUUUUAACUACAGGAGGGAGGAUCAAGCAGAGGCCUACCCCUUCCGUUCCUAGCUCAGCCAGUGGCUAGCGAGUGGAAGGCAAUCUGCUACAAAU
Tachyglossus aculeatus (Australian echidna) is the source of this 138-nucleotide small nucleolar RNA. The record is from RefSeq and is a predicted model, not a curated record. NCBI's taxonomy places the organism in Eukaryota, Metazoa, Chordata, Mammalia, Monotremata, Tachyglossidae.